RNAcentral lists this ribosomal RNA (441 nucleotides) under uncultured bacterium. RNAcentral describes it as "partial 16S ribosomal RNA". It matches the Rfam family "Bacterial small subunit ribosomal RNA", at positions 338 to 795 of the family's 1533-position model. The record is from RNAcentral.
CCUACGGGAGGCAGCAGUGGGGAAUAUUGCACAAUGAGGGAAACCUUGAUGCAGCAACGCCGCGUGAGUGAUGAAGUAUUUCGGUUUGUAAAGCUCUAUCAGCAGGGAAGAAGAAAGACGGUACCUGACUAAGAAGCCCCGGCUAACUACGUGCCAGGAGCCGCGGUAAGACGUAGGGGGCCAGCGGUAUCCGGAUUUACUGGGUGUAAAGGGGUCGCAGGCGGCGAUGCAAGACAGGUGGGAAAGCCCGGGGCCCAACCCCGGGACUGCUCUUGGUACUGCGUGGCUAGAGUGCAGGAGGGGCAGGCGGAAUUCCUGGUGUAGCGGUGAAAUGCGUAGAUAUCAGGAGGAACACCGGUGGCGAAGGCGGCCUGCUGGACUGCAACUGACGUUGAGGGACGAAAGCGUGGGGAGCAAACAGGAUUAGAUACCCCAGUAGUC